Molecule: long non-coding RNA, 2889 nt
Organism: Ctenopharyngodon idella (grass carp)
Lineage: Eukaryota; Metazoa; Chordata; Actinopteri; Cypriniformes; Xenocyprididae
Exons: 4
Source: RefSeq, a predicted model, not a curated record
AAAAGAGGUCAAAGGUCACCUCAGAGGUCACAGAUCAUCAGAUAUAUUUCCAUAAACAGUGUUAUAUCAGAAAGCAUUUUGUCCAAACUGAAUGUUUGAGUGUUGAGAAGAUCUGAGUUUCUUCUAAUAUCAGUGUGUUGAAGUGUUGUUUCUCUCUCUCUGCUGGAGUUUGUGUUCACUCGAGUGGAAUAGAGGUUUUUGUACGACCGUUUCAUUAGAUUGUAUCACUGUGGUUGACUUUUGGUGGAGGAACUAAACUGGUGCUCGCUGGUCCCACAGUGAAGCCCUCAGUGUCUCUGCUGCCGCCCUCUUCUCUGCAGAUCUCUGGAGACUCAGCCGCACUGCUCUGCCUGCUCAGCUCUUACUCUCCACAGGGGGCGCUGGUGAGCUGGACACUGGACGGGUCAGAGGUCACCGAGGGGGUCGUGACCAGCGCAGAGAGCCAGCGGGACGGCCGCUACAGCCGCAGUAGCGUCCUGACCCUCAGCAAAGCACGCUGGGAAAAGGGAGAGGUGUACGUCUGCAGAGUAACACAUGAUGGAGCUCCUCAUGAGGUCUCGUUCCACAAGAGCUCUGAGUGCUGAUGUUUCUCUCCUGAAGAUGAGCCGUAUCUGAGUGUCCUGUGUCAGGCAGGAUUCACAUGAGUCUAGUGCUGCAGCUGUAGUGAUUUACAACUCAAUACUGAAAGAGAGCUGGCGUGUCAAAGCACUGUGUGAUCUUUCAAUCUGCUGUAACAUUCAAUAAAGCUUCUCAACAAGUUCACUUUGUGUCUGACAACAUCAUUCAACUAACAGAUGAAGAUGCAGGUGCUUUUCACAAACUUGAUGUAAAUGUCAAAUAAAGCUCUUGGGGUUUGAACAUGGUCUCUGGAGACAGAGCUGCUCUAUUCUGAGAGGAUCAGAAUCACUCCACCCUGACAAUGCAAAUGGGCUUUUCAGUCUCGCUGUUUGAUUGGUCACAUGAUCUGGACUGAAACACACCAGUUUCACUUCUGCUGAAAAUGUGGUGAUGAAAAUAUAUAUGAAAAAUGUCAUGAAAAUCACAACUAAAACUAGUCAUGUUUGUUGGUUGAUGAAGAAGAGCUCUUGAUCAUGUCAUGUUCAGUUCAUAGAGCUAUAAACACAUUCAGAGCAGUGAAGCAUGUGCCGCUCAUGUAAAACACCCUCUGAAUGCAAAAGACAGAAGAGAGAUCAGGACGAUAUACAUUCAGAGUCCAAUAGUUUUACUGACAGGGUUAAAAGAAAGGCUUUACAUCAGCAAAGCACAGCAACAGUAAAUAUACAGAGUCAGACAUACACAUUUACACAUCAUUCUCUACAGGACACAACUGAAUGAUUCCUGCUGUAUCAGUAGUCAAUGAUCUUGCUGCUCAACAUUCAAACACUUGUCUAUUGUUUGCUGUAGCAGUGCAGUGUACUUUCAGAAACCCUCCACCUCACAUUCUGAUUGGGGGUCCCUGAUAAUAUAUCCAUCAUGAAAUGUGGAUAAACAGAAAAGGCUGCACCCACUUCAGCCCCUCAUUUCAUUGAACAGACGUGUCAUAUAUAGAUCCGCUGUGAAGUCCAAAAACCUUUUAUGUUGCCUGAGGGCGACACCAUGCCAUAGACGAAUAAAGAAACAAUUCUAUAAUUGAGUUAACUUCAGCAAAACUUGUAUGUAAUGUUCUAUUUUCAGUGGUUUAAUCGGGAACAAUUACUGGGACACCAUAGGAAGAUUUAUUGUUUCCCCUUUAAGCAUUUGUGCUCAUGCUGUAUGUCGACGGGGAAGCAGAGGUCGUUUUGCUGUUUCACAUUUAUCCUGUAUUUGCUUUACUGUAUCUUUAUAUCAUAAUCGCUGUAUUUAUGAUGUUAGAACAUUGUUAAGGGUUUCUGUCAUAAUGUGCAUCAGUGAUUAGUGAAUUUUCCUUUAAAGUGCUGCUUUUAACCAUUGAAUUUUAGCAUCUCAUUUGCACAUGUGUCUUUCUAUGCAGGGAUGAGAGAGUAGGCCUUCUGAUGUGUGUAUACUAAUCUUACCUCACAGUUUAUGAUUAUUAAUUAUUGAUGAUUAUUAAUUAUUAAUAAAUCGGUACGAGCAUAGUUCCUGCAUGUGUGCUGGGUCAGGACUAUCCUCGUUCAUGUCCGUGGCAUGUACAGCAGAGACAGCCUGUCCAACAGCAUUAAGUUCUUGUUAUCAAAGACGACGUGAACCGACAGGCUUUAGAUGGGAGUCUCAAUCGUUCUGUUGGCACAGAUGCAAUCACUCGACCUGGAUAACAUCAGAGUAUUAUAAUUUAGCAGAGGGACUUCUUUUAAGUUAUAAAGCAUAGCUUUAAUUUACCAAUUAUGUUUUCAAAAAGAAUAUUAAAGAAUAUUACAAAACAUGCAGUAGAAGAGUAAUAAUGCAAACAAAUGUUAAUAAAAAGGCUUAAAUACAAACACUUUUCUCUCUUUGCUGUGGAAGUUCAGUAUAAGAGGAAAUGUCAGGCAUCUUAGGGGGGCACUGCAGUAUUGAUCUGGUGAAGGAGGAGGUCAUCGAGUAAAAAAGGUUGAGAAACACUACACUAGUGUCAUCACAUCGACACAACGUCAAAGUGACUGACAGAUAGAGAACUCAGUUAUGUAACAGACACGCCAUCUAGUGAUGAAGCAUGGAAGUGCAAUUAAAGUGACUGACUUUCCUGCAGUUCGAUUACAUUGUAGUGGAAAGUUUUGCAGGACCAAACACCACUAACAUUUAUAUAAUAUAAAGAUUAUGUUACAUGCUUAGUACAUCCAAAUAAAUAAAUAAUGUUUCUGAAAGGUUUGAUACAAUAUUGUGUUGUUUGUGAUCCUCCAUCAGCAGCUGCAGUAUCUCUCAGCUGUAUCAGUGCAUCACUGUGACGUCUGACUGACCGAGGUUUUUGUACCACUC